Macaca mulatta (Rhesus monkey) is the source of this 1589-nucleotide long non-coding RNA. The record is from Ensembl. Lineage: Eukaryota; Metazoa; Chordata; Mammalia; Primates; Cercopithecidae.
UGGAUGUAGGUGGAAAUGGGAAAGGGAACUUGGUUAUUAUUACUACUGAAAAUGGGCAAAGGCAUAGUAAUACUCCUGGGAAUGUCAGGAUAUGACUUUUUCUGAGCAAACCCAAAGGCAGAGGGAGGAGAGGAUAAGUGAUUCCCUGGCUUUAACUUUCCCUCUCACUUAGAAAUAUGUGACAGAAAGAAUGAGAAAACAAGGCAUGACAGAAAACAGUGACAAAAUGGUCCCUGUCAACCAACAGGGAUGUCCUAGGAUCAAACAGCUCAGCCAGAAGGGAACUGGAUCUUUCAUGGUACCCUGAGAGCUCAGUGGGGUCGCUCAUAGGCAGUUAUCCCUGUGCAGGGCCUGCCAUUCUCCUUAUUUGGACUGUGCUCGUUAACAAAUCCUGUGCUUUGGAGGAGGGAUGUCCCAUUCCCUCAACCCACACAUGGGCUUUAGAUCUGUGGUUUCCUCGCUUCCUUUGCCCCCAACGCUGCGUAAGUCCAAGUGGAUGGGGAAAGCUCUGUUGACAUUUUGGAGGGAGGAGAAGGAAACGAGUGGGUGAGUAGGCUCCAAAGCCUCGUUCCGCAGCUGUGACCUUUAGGCAAGCUUUGAUUUCUCAGGGCCCAGAGCUCACAGUGGGCUCUCUGGGGGCAUGUGUGACUUGCAUAUCUUUUUCACUUCCUUAAACCGAAUGAGGCCAGGGGAGGAGGAAUCUUCAGAAGGUGAAGCAGCUGAAGUGCAGGGAAUCUGCGUCAGCCAAGAUGACACCAGUCAGGAACCCAAGCUUGAAGAUGACCAGGCCCUUCCACCACAGCCUGCUAUGGGGCUGGAAUCCCCAUCUCCCGUCAUUCUCCAGGGGGCUCCUAAAGAGGUGGGCGUAUUUUUUUCCUGGUUUGAAACAUGAGAUGAAUUGAAGGCAGGGAAUAUGGAUGGUUCAAAGAGCCCCAGUCUGGUCUGGUUGCUUGGAGGCCGGGUUUCCAGUCCAGCAUGAUGCCAUGUCUCCCCUAGCUCCAUCUACCAAGCAAAAAUCAUAAUGCGGGCCAUUUCAUAGGCUAGUGUAAGAUCAUGAUUCAUGAUCCCACUUGAUUCAAAAUGUCUUGUAAAUGGUAAGGAACUAUUCUCAUGUAAGAGGUGACUAUUAUUACUGAAACAAAGUUGCAAAGACUUGGAACCAACACAAAUGCCCAUCAAUGAUAGACUGGAUAAAGAAAACGUGCACAUAUACACCAUGGAAUACCAUGCAGCUAUAAAAAAGAAUGAGUUAAUGUUAUUUGCAGGGACAUGGAUGAAGCUGGAAACCAUCAUCCUCAGCAAACUAACACAGGAACAGAAAACCAAACACCACACAUUCUCACUCAUAAGUGGGAGUUGAACAACGAACACAUGGACACAGGGAGGCGAACAUCACACACCAGGGCCUGUCGGGGGGUGAGGGGAAAGGGGAGCGAGAUCAUUAGGCCAAAUAUCUAAUGCAUGUGGGGCUUAAAACCUAGAGGAUGGGUUAAUAGGUGUAGCAAACCACCAUGAUACAUGUAUACCUAUGUAACAAACCUGCACAUUCAGCACACGUAUCCCAGAACUUUAAAAAAAAAAAAAAAAAA